CUCCUUUGUUCAACGAUCUUCCUCAUUUCAGUCAAUAUGUACAAACUGUUUUGUCAGCUCAGUAUAAUUGAACACACAGACUUUUUUUCUUUGUAAAUUAAGCCAUACUUGUGAUGAAUAUUUAAUGUUUGGCAUAAGUCCACAGUCUGUGUUAACAUAGCUUCAAACUGUAACUCUUUUAGUGGUAUAUACCAAACACAGGUAAAAAUGAUUUGAGAUCUCAUCCUGUGAUUGAAACUUCAUUGGAAAAGUGGGCAGAGGAUUUCGAACCAUAUUUGAACUCAUUGAAAUUAUAAACCCAAGAGGAAGAAGAGAAAAACCGAUCUAUUAGCGUGCUUCUCCCUCUGUCUCUGGUGUUCCCUCUCCCUUUCAGAAAUAUAAUAUUUCCCUGGAUAUUCUCUACUUGCUCCUAUUCAAAGAAAUGUUUCAAAUCAUCCCAGGGCUCAUUUGUACCAAGAUGCUUUCCAUCAUUAUCUCUCAGUUCACUUUGAAUAUUUUAAAAGUUAUUUCAGGUUUGAAAAACAGUUAGGGAGCCUGAACAUAGAAUCAUCCAGAACCACUUAAUUCAUUCAUUUAGUUCUUCACUUUCAUUUGUUCCUCAUAAGAAAAAGGGGAAAAAAAUCCCAAGUUCUCUGUGAGAUGUUGGGUAAAUUGCAUCUUAAAAGCGAGAGUGCGUCUCCCGAUGAUAGGAAUGGAUAAUAAAAUACUAUGCCAUUUUAAAAUGCUAUUACCUGCCUGCAUUCCACAAUAUCUUUCCCCUUAGAUGGCUCCCAUAUAGGAAGCAUUUUAAAAAAUUAUUUCCUGCUAUUUUCUUCAGCACCCAGGGAGCUUCAUUAGAGAAAUAUAGUGAAGGUAGGUGCAUUUGACAAGAGACAAAUGAUGUUAGGGAGAAGCUCUCUGAUGAGGCAGUUCGCAAUGUAUCUGUUCAGCAGAGUAUCUCUGACUUGUCAGGAGGCAGGUCUGGCAUCUGCUUCAAGAGCGACAUAUGGCUGGUGUUAAACACUGUCAGUUCUGCAGAGGUGAACCUAUACGCAUCCAGGACAGGAAGAGCUGAAUACACCGACUGUUUGUAAAUCCGACAUUUUUCCACACUGGCUUUGCUUGCUGAAAUGUGGCAGAAGUGAGGAACACAAAUCGGUUCUGCAAAACUCACAGAUGAAGAAACUGAGGUUCUGAGUGGUGAUGUGAUCAGAACAAGAAUGAACCACUGGCAGUACCCACUCUUCUCCACCAAAUCUUGCACCCCAGGCUGUUCCAGGUCUUGCCACAAAGUGAAAUUUGAAAACUGCAUAUGCAUUUGGCAGGAAAAUCACUCCUGGCCGAAAAAAAAUCAUCUCCUGGCUUGUUGAAAAGAACUCAUAUCUCAUACAACGAGGGCAUGAAGAAUGUUCGCUGAACAUAGGCUCAGAAUAGGUACCAAAGGAUGCUCUUCAGAGGACAUACUAGAGCACAAGGUUACAUGGAUGCAAGAACAUCUUAAUAAGGGAACCCAUUCCCUUGCAGACAAUGUUUCAGGAAAAAAAGUUGAACUCAUCCUGGUGUUUUCUAUUACAGAUGAGGCUGAGUGUAAACCAGAAGUUUCUAAAUUGAUUCACAUUUAAGACAGGGUUAUGUAAUAAUUUCAACUUUUUUCUUAUAUGAAAAGACUAGAUUUAAAAAUACAUCAUUAAAAUAUAUCACAUUUCAGAAGAAACUCAACUUUCAAGAUAACAUUUAACAGGAAAAAUACUUCCAUAAAAGUUUCUUAACAAUGCAACCGCUUUCUGAAAGUGCAUUGCAAGACAGGACAUUAUCCUGAUGAUUACAGGUACUGAAAAGCAGCAGCUUCAGAAACACUUCGCAAUUUGCAUUUGCGGAAGAUGCAUACAAAUUUAUUCUUUUGAUGAACUCUCUCUUUCCCAAGAUAUAUUUGGAUGAGGCAGUAGAACUGUAAGAGCACAGCUCUGUGCUCCGAGAUCAGUAUCAGAAAAGUGUACAAUACUGCCUUUUAAAGCAUUGCAUAUUUUUUUCCUUAACACUAAGUAACUAUUUUUUUCUUUAACUUUUAUUAAUACUCAUGGGCAAGAAUGGUAAGAAUAUAAAAGCCAACCAGGACAGAAUGCAGAUAAAAUCAGAGGAAAAGGAUGAAAGAAGCAAAGUUAAAGAAGAGGACCCAGGCAAAAAUGAGUCCGGUAGCACACUCAGUGAAUAGAAAGACAGUUAAGUCCAGUCUCAGGAGGUAAGACAGAAACUGCCAGAAUACACAUGAACCCUCUUAGAGAUUCAUAGUACAUAGAUUUAACAUGCUAAAAUGACAUACAUUAAACAUGUGCAAAAUUAGGUUGUCCUACAAUUUAGGGUUUCCACGCAACAAAGAAUGUCAGAAGUCUAAAAUCCGAUUUGCUACAUCCCCUUGUGCAUGCAGAAUGAGUGUUAGGGGUGAAGAGGAAUAAAAGUGCACAUUUAUUCAUCCUCUAUGGUCUCCUAGCCUUGGUAGGUUCCAUUAUUCGUAUUCCUUCUCAAAUUUCUCCCACACCAGCUCUUCCAGGGUGUUCACAGCUGGAGGAGGUAGAAAGUUCCGAGGCAGAUGGCCAUGUCACCUUGAGUAACCCUCAGGUGUUCUUCGUGAUGGGAAGAACCAUAUUUGUAAGCAGAGUAAGACACUUUGCAGUUCUCAAGUUUUCCCUCAGCUGUUCUCAAGGAUGACAUGAUCAAGAAACAGUAAGAGGCAAAUGGGAAGACUAUGCAAACCUUAGUUCAGGAAUUUCUACCCUGUACCCACUUCCACCCUAUGGGAAGACUAUGCAAACCUUAGUUCAGGAAUUUCUACCCUGUACCCACUUCCACCCUAUGCUCAGUAGCAGUAAUGAUUUUGACAACUGUCCCAAAGCAUUCAUUUCAUGAUGUCCUCUGCACUCUCAAAGACAUUUGAGUCAGAAAUAGAAUUUACUACUUCGGGUCCUUAUUCUAAAUUCUUUGAAUUCCCCUACUCACUAGCUUGUCAGCUGAAUUUGCUAAAAUGGCACUGUUACUGACCCCCCCAGAAUCCAGGUCAAAUUUAGCUAAUAUACUCUUACAGAUUAGAAAACGAGCUUGAUUCUGUUUUUCUUCUCAUGUAAGGAAGUGGAAUGUGUGAGUGUGUAGGUGGGGAGGUGGGGGCUGUCACUGAUUUCUGAAAUUGACUGAAUGAAAAUUAUCACAUCAUUUUGAUGUGUUAAAUACCCUAAAUCAUUCUCCAUGAUCAGAUAGUCUCUCAAAAUUUAAGAUGUCCUAUGGUUUCUUUUAGAUUUCUAAGGCUUAGGACCAUGAUUUUUCUUAAUGAGGCAAAAUGUUCAAUGUGCAGAGCAUCUCCAAAACUCCCCUUUCUGAAGGUUUUUCAGACAUCUGACAGGUAACCCCUGGCUAACCCAGCUAUCUACUGGACACAGGCAGCAAAGCCACAUCAAAUCAAUGAAUGCCAGACACACUUGGAUACACCUUCUAAUGUAUAUAAAAA
Molecule: long non-coding RNA, 3475 nt
Filed under: Homo sapiens (human)
Lineage: Eukaryota; Metazoa; Chordata; Mammalia; Primates; Hominidae
Description: HSALNT0272552
Source: RNAcentral